GGCAGUUCUCAGGUGACCCACCUGGACCUGGAAUUGGGCUCCCUCCUUUCUGGUUCUGGGUGUGUCACCCAAGAACCGCA
Molecule: non-coding RNA, 80 nt
Organism: Myotis lucifugus (little brown bat)
Lineage: Eukaryota; Metazoa; Chordata; Mammalia; Chiroptera; Vespertilionidae
Source: Rfam